GACGAACGCUGGCGGCGUGCUUAACACAUGCAAGUCGAACGGAAAGGCCCUGCUUUUGUGGGGUGCUCGAGUGGCGAACGGGUGAGUAACACGUGAGUAACCUGCCCUUGACUUUGGGAUAACUCCAGGAAACUGGGGCUAAUACCGGAUAGGAGCUCCUGCUGCAUGGUGGGGGUUGGAAAGUUUCGGCGGUUGGGGAUGGGCUCGCGGCUUAUCAGCUUGUUGGUGGGGUAGUGGCUUACCAAGGCUUUGACGGGUAGCCGGCCUGAGAGGGUGACCGGCCACAUUGGGACUGAGAUACGGCCCAGACUCCUACGGGAGGCAGCAGUGGGGAAUAUUGCACAAUGGGCGGAAGCCUGAUGCAGCAACGCCGCGUGCGGGAUGACGGCCUUCGGGUUGUAAACCGCUUUCGCCUGUGACGAAGCGUGAGUGACGGUAAUGGGUAAAGAAGCACCGGCUAACUACGUG
RNAcentral lists this ribosomal RNA (468 nucleotides) under uncultured bacterium. RNAcentral describes it as "partial 16S ribosomal RNA". It matches the Rfam family "Bacterial small subunit ribosomal RNA", at positions 28 to 507 of the family's 1533-position model. The record is from RNAcentral.